GAUGAACGCUAGCGGGAGGCCUAACACAUGCAAGCCGAGCGGUAUUUGUUCUUCUGAACAGAGAGAGCUGCGCACGGGUUCGGAACACGUGUGCAACCUGCCUUUAUCUGGGGGAUAGCCUUUCGAAAGGAAGAUUAAUACCCCAUAAUAUAUUGAGUGGCAUCAUUUGAUAUUGAAAACUCCGGUGGCUAGAGAUGGGCACGCGCAAGAUUAGAUAGUUGGUUAGGUAACGGCUCACCAAGUCAAUGAUCUUUAGGGGGCGUGAGAGGGUGAUCCCCCACAUGAGUACUGAGACACGGACCAGAGGACUGCGGGACGCAGCAGUGAGGAACAGUGGGCAAUGGGUGAGAGCAUGAGACAGCCAUCCAGCGUGAAGGACGACGGCCCUAUGGGUUGUAAAAUUCUUUUGUGUAGGGAUAAACCUACUAUCGUGAGAGUAGAUGAAGGUACUAGACGAAUAAGCACCGGCUAACUCCGUG
This 479-nucleotide ribosomal RNA is filed under the name uncultured bacterium. RNAcentral's name for it is "partial 16S ribosomal RNA". It matches the Rfam family "Bacterial small subunit ribosomal RNA", at positions 28 to 507 of the family's 1533-position model. The record is from RNAcentral.